UUGUUUGUUACCGGUGGAUGGCUCUCUGCUUUUGCAACAACUUCCACCGGCAUUCCUCUUCGGUUUUGCGCAAGGUUGUGUUUCCUUGAGCGCUUAAGGUUUACUGUGUGCCUAUCUGUGACGGUAUCUGUGAAUAAAACAAAUUCGUGUUUUAUCACGCGUCAUUUAAGUGGCGUGGGAUAAUCCUCAAAGCAAAUUCGAUAGCCACCUUGUUGAUGCACAUGCAUCGAUGUUGUGGCUCGUUGAGUUUUGCCUGGUUUUUUGGAUAUAGAACAUGAUAUGGGUGUAGGUCUUUGCGACCUUUUUUGCCCUGUUGAACGUUGAUAUUACUUUGAGAUAACUGCCUAUCCCGAAUUGGCUCGUACCACCGGGGUAAGGUUAUGUUGUUGAAGAGCAAUACUAGCGUUCUUGCUUCUCUAAAACAGACGGCCUCGCCUGUAUUGGCUUUGUACCAGCGGGUGGGCUAUGUCGAAAAUGGAUGCUACCUGGUU
RNAcentral lists this unclassified non-coding RNA (491 nucleotides) under Pulicaria renschiana. RNAcentral's name for it is "contains 3 external transcribed spacer, ETS". Lineage: Eukaryota; Viridiplantae; Streptophyta; Magnoliopsida; Asterales; Asteraceae. The record is from RNAcentral.